GGGCCUGUAGCAUAGUCUGGAUAGUGCAGUCGGCUUCGGACCGACUGACCGGGGUUCGAAUCCUCGCAGGCCCA
This 74-nucleotide transfer RNA is filed under the name archaeon. RNAcentral describes it as "tRNA-Arg". It matches the Rfam family "tRNA". From Rfam's summary of the family: Transfer RNA (tRNA) molecules are approximately 80 nucleotides in length. Their secondary structure includes four short double-helical elements and three loops (D, anti-codon, and T loops). Further hydrogen bonds mediate the characteristic L-shaped molecular structure. tRNAs have two regions of fundamental functional importance: the anti-codon, which is responsible for specific mRNA codon recognition, and the 3' end, to which the tRNAs corresponding amino acid is attached (by aminoacyl-tRNA synthetases). tRNAs cope with the degeneracy of the genetic code in two manners: having more than one tRNA (with a specific anti-codon) for a particular amino acid; and 'wobble' base-pairing, i.e. permitting non-standard base-pairing at the 3rd anti-codon position. The record is from RNAcentral.